Phrynosoma platyrhinos (Desert horned lizard) is the source of this 72-nucleotide non-coding RNA. Lineage: Eukaryota; Metazoa; Chordata; Lepidosauria; Squamata; Phrynosomatidae. The record is from the annotation of a GenBank genome assembly.
GCCAGUGUGGUGUAGUGGUUUGAAUGUUGGACUACAGUUCUGGAAACCAGGGUUCAACUCCUGGCUUAGCCA